This 70-nucleotide transfer RNA is filed under the name Dipodomys ordii (Ord's kangaroo rat). It matches the Rfam family "tRNA". Rfam says of the family: Transfer RNA (tRNA) molecules are approximately 80 nucleotides in length. Their secondary structure includes four short double-helical elements and three loops (D, anti-codon, and T loops). The record is from Rfam by way of RNAcentral. Lineage: Eukaryota; Metazoa; Chordata; Mammalia; Rodentia; Heteromyidae.
GGGAAUGUGGCUUAGUGGUAGAGUGCUUGCCUAGCACGCAUGAAGCCCUGGGUUUGGUUCCUCAUUACCA